UUGAGAUUCUCUGAGAAUUAAAUCCACUGCUUGUCUACAGAAUAGAUAAUGGCAGGGCAACCUUCCCACAUCACUGCCUCCCACCAAUGUGGCUCAGCCCUGACCUGGCAACCAUUCAUGACUGGACAGAGUAGAGUUCAUUCUCUAUAUCCCAUUCAUAGCCACU
Unclassified non-coding RNA from Serinus canaria (Common canary), 166 nucleotides. The record is from Ensembl. NCBI's taxonomy places the organism in Eukaryota, Metazoa, Chordata, Aves, Passeriformes, Fringillidae.